This is a long non-coding RNA of Hibiscus syriacus, 375 nucleotides long. RefSeq lists it as uncharacterized. NCBI's taxonomy places the organism in Eukaryota, Viridiplantae, Streptophyta, Magnoliopsida, Malvales, Malvaceae. The transcript is spliced from 2 exons. The record is from RefSeq and is a predicted model, not a curated record.
GUAUAGCCGUGUGUGUGGCAACCCCCACGCCAUUAUUAGGAAGUAUGGGCUCAUGUGUUGCAGACAGUGCUUCCGUAGCAAUGCUAAGGAAAUCGGAUUCAUCAAGUACCGCUGAAGAAUUUAUAUGUUGUGAAGUUGGAAGGACUUUGUUCAAGUAUGAACCGUUGAUAGUAUGCUUUUUCUUUUUUAAUUGGAAGGUAUCUCGUGUUUUUUGAUUUAGCAUGAACCUUAAAGUGGUUGUUGAACAAAGAAUAUUUCACUGUUUUUCAAUGAAAUUACUUGCAUUUUAGUUUGCUGCUAAUUCGUCUUUGCAAUGUGACGAUCAUGUUAGGUUUUUGGUAUUACAUCCAAUAUUACUUGAUAUGUUUCUCGGUU